AGUGAACGCUGGCGGUAGGCCUAACACAUGCAAGUCGAACGGCAGCACAGUAAGAGCUUGCUCUUACGGGUGGCGAGUGGCGGACGGGUGAGGAAUACAUCGGAAUCUACUUUUUCGUGGGGGAUAACGUAGGGAAACUUACGCUAAUACCGCAUACGACCUACGGGUGAAAGCAUGGGAUCUUCGGACCUUGCGCGAUUGAAUGAGCCGAUGUCGGAUUAGCUAGUUGGCGGGGUAAAGGCCCACCAAGGCGACGAUCCGUAGCUGGUCUGAGAGGAUGAUCAGCCACACUAGAACUGAGACACGGUCCAGACUCCUACGGGAGGCCGCAGUGGGGAAUAUUGGACAAUGGGCGCAAGCCUGAUCCAGCCAUACCGCGUGGGUGAAGAAGGCCUUCGGGUUGUAAAGCCCUUUUGUUGGGAAAGAAAAGCAGCAGGUUAAUACCCCGCUGUUCUGACGGUACCCAAAGAAUAAGCACCGGCUAACUUCGUG
Molecule: ribosomal RNA, 492 nt
Filed under: uncultured bacterium
Lineage: Bacteria
Description: partial 16S ribosomal RNA
Rfam family: Bacterial small subunit ribosomal RNA
Source: RNAcentral